GGGGCACCAAGGACUGGAGGUGUUUGGGGAGCAGAUGAAGACCAAGAGACUUGGGGGGCACGAAGGUUUGGGGGUGACGACGGAGGUCCAACCAGGUCUGGAGAUGGAGGAGCACCCAAAGGUGAAGACUUUUGGGGUGCGUCAAGGACAGGAGACGAUGGAGGAGCACCCAAAGACCGAAAGACUUGGGGUGCACCAAGGUUUGGAGAUAGAGGAGCACCCACAGACCAAGAGUUUUGGGGUGCGUCAAGGUCUGGAGAUGUUGGAAGAGCACCCAAAGACCGAGAGACUUGGGGGUCACCAAGGUCUGGAGAUGUUGGAGGAGCACCCAAUGGUGAAGACUCUUGGGGCGCAUCAAGAUCUGGAGAUGUUUGGGGAGCACCCAAAGGUGAAGGUUGGGGUGCAACCAAGUCUGGAGAUGUUGGAAGAGCACCCAAAGACCAAGAGCCUUGGGGUACGUCAAGAUUCGGAGAUGACGGAGGUCCAACCAACGCCGGAGACGUUGGAGGAGGA
This 513-nucleotide long non-coding RNA is filed under the name Anser cygnoides (Swan goose). RNAcentral's name for it is "lncRNA (ENSACDG00005012701.1)". Lineage: Eukaryota; Metazoa; Chordata; Aves; Anseriformes; Anatidae. The record is from RNAcentral.